CACUUGUUGGCUCUCCUGCUCUUCUUUAUACAAUAAAUCAUACACUUCUUUAGUGGUUGUGCUCAUAUCAACAGUGUACAGCUCUCCUGGUCGUGGUACUCCAUCCAGGUGUUCUCUGGUGUAGAUAUUUAAAGCAUUGGCUUGGUAGAUUAAUUGCAGAUUUGUAUCAUCAAAGAAAUCAUCUACUACAAGCUGGGCUGCACGAAAUUUGUGAAUAUCCUCCACUGUUGGUGCCACAUCAAUUGUUGGGUGAGAAAAUGUAUCAUGACAAAUGACUCCUAUACCAGGUUGAGGAUGAGAUAUAAGAUUAAAGAGAAAAUUCUGGAUAGCUACUUGAAGGGAAAGAUGCUUAUCAUGCUGUAACUUGAAGAUUUUAUCUUUACAAUCAUGAGUGUAUUACCACUUUGAGGUGGCACACCACUUUCUGCUCUUUGAGUACUAGAAGAUGAAGGCCUGAAAAAGUCCAUACCUGUCAAAGAAGAAGCCGAGAUAAGAUAUCUGCAAGUGUAUUAUCAGCUCCUUUUAUAUGCUCAAAUUGUGGCCUAAAUCCAUUUCCUGUAAUACAAUCUAUAAAAUUGAC
This is a long non-coding RNA of Rosa chinensis, 580 nucleotides long. RefSeq lists it as uncharacterized. The record is from RefSeq and is a predicted model, not a curated record. Lineage: Eukaryota; Viridiplantae; Streptophyta; Magnoliopsida; Rosales; Rosaceae. The transcript has 3 exons.